GACGUAGGGUGCAAGCGUUGUCCGGAUUUACUGGGCGUAAAGAGCGCGUAGGCGGUCUGUUAAGUGUAGAGUGAAAUCUCUGGGCUCACCCCGGAAACUGCUCUGCAUACUGGCAGACUUGAGGGAAGCAGAGGUUUGUGGAAUUCCUGGUGUAGCGGUGAAAUGCGUUGAUAUCAGGAGGAACACCCAUGGCGAAGGCAGCAAACUGGGCUUCAUCUGACGCUGAUGCGCGAAAAGCGUGGGGUAGCAAACAGG
Molecule: ribosomal RNA, 255 nt
Filed under: uncultured bacterium
Lineage: Bacteria
Description: partial 16S ribosomal RNA
Rfam family: Bacterial small subunit ribosomal RNA
Source: RNAcentral